Molecule: microRNA precursor, 53 nt
Organism: Gorilla gorilla gorilla (western lowland gorilla)
Lineage: Eukaryota; Metazoa; Chordata; Mammalia; Primates; Hominidae
Gene: MIR320E
Product: microRNA 320e
Source: Ensembl
GCCUUCUCUUCCCAGUUCUUCCUGGAGUCGGGGAAAAGCUGGGUUGAGAAGGU